GGGCGUAAAGCGAGCGUAGGUGGCUUGAUAAGUCAGAUGUGAAAUCCCCGGGCUUAACCUGGGAACUGCAUCUGAUACUGUUAGGCUAGAAUAGGUGAGAGGAAGGUAGAAUUCCAGGUGUAGCGGUGAAAUGCGUAGAGAUCUGGAGGAAUACCGAUGGCGAAGGCAGCCUUCUGGCAUCAUAUUGACACUGAGGUUCGAAAGCGUGGGUAGCAAACAGGAUUAGAUACCCUGGUAGUCCACGCCGUAAACGAUGUCUACUAGUCGUUGGGUCCCUUGAGGACUUAGUGACGCAGCUAACGCAAUAAGUAGACCGCCUGGGGAGUACGGCCGCAAGGUUAAAACUCAAAUGAAUUGACGGGGGCCCGCACAAGCGGUGGAGCAUGUGGUUUAAUUCGAUGCAACGCGAAGAACCUUACCAAUCCUUGAAAUCUAGCGAAGUACGCAGAGAUGUGAAUGUGCCUUCGGGAACGCUAUGACAGGUGUUGCAUGGCU
RNAcentral lists this ribosomal RNA (495 nucleotides) under uncultured Psychrobacter sp. RNAcentral describes it as "bacterial SSU rRNA". It matches the Rfam family "Bacterial small subunit ribosomal RNA", at positions 556 to 1050 of the family's 1533-position model. The record is from RNAcentral. Lineage: Bacteria; Pseudomonadati; Pseudomonadota; Gammaproteobacteria; Moraxellales; Moraxellaceae.